This 427-nucleotide ribosomal RNA is filed under the name uncultured bacterium. RNAcentral's name for it is "bacterial SSU rRNA". It matches the Rfam family "Bacterial small subunit ribosomal RNA", at positions 355 to 774 of the family's 1533-position model. The record is from RNAcentral.
CUAAGAAUAUUCCGCAGUGGACGAAAGUCUGACGGAGCGACGCCGCGUGGAUGAAGAAGGCCGAAAGGUUGUAAAAUCCUUUUGUUGGGGAAGAAUAAGCGUGGGAGGGGAUGCCCGCGUGAUGACAUGAACCGACGGAUAAGUCCCGGCUAACUACGUGCCAGCAGCCGCGGUAACACGUAGGGGACAAGCGUUAUUCGGAAUUACUGGGCGUAAAGGGCAUGUAGGCGGCUUUGUAAGCCUGGCGUGAAAGUCACCGGCUCAACCGGUGGAUUGCGUCAGGAACUGCAGAGCUUGAGUCAUGGAGAGGGAGCUAGAAUUCCUGGUGUAGGGGUGAAAUCUGUAGAGAUCAGGAAGAAUACCAAUGGCGAAGGCAAGCCCCUGGCCGAUGACUGACGCUGAGGUGCGAAAGUGUGGGGAUCAAACA